Molecule: ribosomal RNA, 581 nt
Filed under: Petasospora xylosilytica
Lineage: Eukaryota; Fungi; Ascomycota; Saccharomycetes; Phaffomycetales; Wickerhamomycetaceae
Description: Cyberlindnera xylosilytica partial 26S ribosomal RNA
Rfam family: Eukaryotic large subunit ribosomal RNA
Source: RNAcentral
GAGGAAAAGAAACCAACAGGGAUUGCCUCAGUAACGGCGAGUGAAGCGGCAAGAGCUCAAAUUUGAAAUCUAGUACCUUCGGUGCUCGAGUUGUAAUUUGAAGGUAGUUUUCUGGUGCUGGCCCUUGUCUAUGUUCCUUGGAACAGGACGUCAUAGAGGGUGAGAAUCCCGUCUGAUGGGGUGUCCAGUGCUUUGUAGAUUUCUACCGAAGAGUCGAGUUGUUUGGGAAUGCAGCUCUAAGUGGGUGGUAAAUUCCAUCUAAAGCUAAAUAUUGGCGAGAGACCGAUAGCGAACAAGUACAGUGAUGGAAAGAUGAAAAGAACUUUGAAAAGAGAGUGAAAAAGUACGUGAAAUUGUUGAAAGGGAAGGGUAUUGGAUCAGACUUGGUGUUUUGUGAUUAUCUUCCCUUCUUGGGUUGUGCACUCGCAUUUCACUGGGCCAGCAUCGAUUCGGAUGGUAAGAUAAUGGCUUGAGAACGUGGCACUCUUCGGGGUGUGUUAUAGCUCUUGUUGAUGUUGCCUAUCUGGAUCGAGGACUGCGGCUUCUGCCUAGGAUGCUGGCGUAAUGAUUCAAUACCGCCC